This 739-nucleotide ribosomal RNA is filed under the name Bacillus altitudinis. Its description in RNAcentral is "bacterial SSU rRNA". It matches the Rfam family "Bacterial small subunit ribosomal RNA", at positions 73 to 797 of the family's 1533-position model. The record is from RNAcentral. Lineage: Bacteria; Bacillati; Bacillota; Bacilli; Caryophanales; Bacillaceae.
GGGGAGCUUGCUCCCGGAUGUUAGCGGCGGACGGGUGAGUAACACGUGGGUAACCUGCCUGUAAGACUGGGAUAACUCCGGGAAACCGGAGCUAAUACCGGAUAGUUCCUUGAACCGCAUGGUUCAAGGAUGAAAGACGGUUUCGGCUGUCACUUACAGAUGGACCCGCGGCGCAUUAGCUAGUUGGUGAGGUAACGGCUCACCAAGGCGACGAUGCGUAGCCGACCUGAGAGGGUGAUCGGCCACACUGGGACUGAGACACGGCCCAGACUCCUACGGGAGGCAGCAGUAGGGAAUCUUCCGCAAUGGACGAAAGUCUGACGGAGCAACGCCGCGUGAGUGAUGAAGGUUUUCGGAUCGUAAAGCUCUGUUGUUAGGGAAGAACAAGUGCAAGAGUAACUGCUUGCACCUUGACGGUACCUAACCAGAAAGCCACGGCUAACUACGUGCCAGCAGCCGCGGUAAUACGUAGGUGGCAAGCGUUGUCCGGAAUUAUUGGGCGUAAAGGGCUCGCAGGCGGUUUCUUAAGUCUGAUGUGAAAGCCCCCGGCUCAACCGGGGAGGGUCAUUGGAAACUGGGAAACUUGAGUGCAGAAGAGGAGAGUGGAAUUCCACGUGUAGCGGUGAAAUGCGUAGAGAUGUGGAGGAACACCAGUGGCGAAGGCGACUCUCUGGUCUGUAACUGACGCUGAGGAGCGAAAGCGUGGGGAGCGAACAGGAUUAGAUACCUGGGUAGUCCC